UCUGCUGAGCAAGAAAGAGAAUUUUCACAGCAGUAACUGGAUGAAAUUUUCAUUCAAUUAUAGUCCUUUACAUGUCAAAAUGAAAUUAACACUUCACUCCAUUAAUACUUCAGACGAAAAAAGAUUUAUCGAACAUACAUGCUCUCAUUCGGGAAUCCAUAAUGGAGAGAUCCGGCUCUUCUUCGUUGUGUUAGCGGGAUGAUAACGCACGUUGCAGGGCCAAAAGACGUUGAGAAAGCUCACCUCUCAAUUCGCAUGAAGCAGGGAGCCCUGACCUUGACGUCAAUGGAUUCUC
This is a long non-coding RNA of Argiope bruennichi, 295 nucleotides long. RefSeq lists it as uncharacterized. The record is from RefSeq and is a predicted model, not a curated record. NCBI's taxonomy places the organism in Eukaryota, Metazoa, Arthropoda, Arachnida, Araneae, Araneidae. The transcript is spliced from 3 exons.